AGGGGGGUUUUGAUCCUGGCUCAGAAUCAACGCUGGCGGCGUGCCUAACACAUGCAAGUCGAGCGAGAAAGGAGACUUCGGUCUCUUAGUAAAGCGGCGCACGGGUGAGUAACGCGUGGGUAAUCAACCUUCGAGUGGGGAAUAACAGCGGGAAACUGCUGCUAAUUCCGCAUGAUGUUCACAGACUUCGGUUUGUGAACCAAAGCCGGGGACCUUCGGGCCUGGCGCUUGAAGACGAGCCCGCGUCCGAUUAGUUUGUUGGUGGGGUAAUGGCCUACCAAGACUUCGAUCGGUAGCCGGCCUGAGAGGGCGGACGGCCACACUGGAACUGAGACACGGUCCAGACUCCUACGGGAGGCAGCAGUGGGGAAUUUUUCGCAAUGGGGGAAACCCUGACGAAGCAACGCCGCGUGAAGGAUGAAGGCCUUCGGGUCGUAAACUUCUGUCAACUGGGAAGAAAGCGUCCAACCUAAUACGUUGUGGCGUUGACUGUACCGGUGGAGGAAGCUCCGGCUAACUUCUGUGCCAGCAGCCGCGGUAAUACAGAGGGAGCAAGCGUUGUUUCGGAAUUACUGGGCGUUAAAGGGGCGCGUAGGCGGUUCAGCAAGUCUUGUGUGAAAUCCCCCCGGCUCAACUGGGGAACUGCCUAGG
Molecule: ribosomal RNA, 651 nt
Filed under: uncultured bacterium
Lineage: Bacteria
Description: bacterial SSU rRNA
Rfam family: Bacterial small subunit ribosomal RNA
Source: RNAcentral